Molecule: ribosomal RNA, 463 nt
Filed under: Salmonella enterica subsp. enterica serovar Bareilly
Lineage: Bacteria; Pseudomonadati; Pseudomonadota; Gammaproteobacteria; Enterobacterales; Enterobacteriaceae
Also listed under: 2 other names
Description: partial 23S ribosomal RNA
Rfam family: Bacterial large subunit ribosomal RNA
Source: RNAcentral
GAAUGCUGACAUAAGUAACGAUAAAGCGGGUGAAAAGCCCGCUCGCCGGAAGACCAAGGGUUCCUGUCCAACGUUAAUCGGGGCAGGGUGAGUCGACCCCUAAGGCGAGGCCGAAAGGCGUAGUCGAUGGGAAACGGGUUAAUAUUCCCGUACUUGGUGUUACUGCGAAGGGGGGACGGAGAAGGCUAUGUUGGCCGGGCGACGGUUGUCCCGGUUUAAGCGUGUAGGCUGGUUUUCCAGGCAAAUCCGGAAAAUCAAGGCUGAGGCGUGACGACGAGGCACUACGGUGCUGAAGCAACAAAUGCCCUGCUUCCAGGAAAAGCCUCUAAGCAUCAGGUAACAUCAAAUCGUACCCCAAACCGACACAGGUGGUCAGGUAGAGAAUACCAAGGCGCUUGAGAGAACUCGGGUGAAGGAACUAGGCAAAAUGGUGCCGUAACUUCGGGAGAAGGCACGCUGACAC